AACUUAGAGUAGUACAGAAAUGUAAAAGCAAGAGCAGCACUGCUUUCCCGGCUAGGAGUUUGAAUGUUGGUGCUGCUGUUUCCAUCAUGUAGGUGGGAGCGGUGCUGCUUUUACACACCGAGGGAUGAGUGCCAUCAUCAGAAGGAGUAAGAAAAUGAGCCUUGGUUUCCAGCUGUGUUCUCCAGUCAGCGUGUGAAUAAGAAGUGGAUUCACACUGCUGCUCACCUGCACCGUCAGUUACCCCCGCUGCAGGGCUGUGGGAACGUCGUGCUGCUUUAGAUACCCCUUAUUACACGUGAAAGUGCACUCUUCCCUGCCACAGCUCACAACACACCCUUGAGAGGCCUCAAAGUAUGAUACUUUAAAAUAUCCUGAUUCAGAUACUGAUACAGAUCUGAUGCUGGUCAUGCUAACUUCAGCGGGAGCUGAGAAAAUGUCGAUGUCCCAUUUACUUGUGUGCAUAAAUAUAAGAUCUGAUGAACUCCCUGAGUAAUUGACUCAGCCCCUGGGUUUGUACAUGCAAGUCUGUUCAGAUUGACCUGAGUAUUCACUUGCUCCUCUUUGCUUAAGUCAUCUUCUGUUAACAUGCAAAAACUAUUUUGACUGUUGAUGUCCUUGCUGACUGUAUGCAGUUUCUGCGGUUUUGGUCCUCCCGCCCCAAAUACUGAAGCUUCAGUUCUUGAAGAUCUGAUCACUAUUUGUAUUUUACAGUGCAAUAGAUCUUUUGUUGCACAUAAUGCAAAAUGUUAUAUUUCAGAACUUUGAUUUCUCUAACUGAAUGGUCUUCUGAGCUGGGAACUCCAGCAAUAAAUCAAGGAGAUUAAGG
This is a long non-coding RNA of Gallus gallus (chicken), 826 nucleotides long. Lineage: Eukaryota; Metazoa; Chordata; Aves; Galliformes; Phasianidae. The record is from Ensembl.